AAACGAAACCGUUGGCCUAUCUGAAAGAACCUCCUGGAUGAGCAAAGGAAGAUACAUCCCUGAACCAUUGAAUAAGCCUGAUAAUUUCAGUGAACCAAGCACCAGUGGUACGAAAGAUAUUCCUCAAGAGGAUGAUUGUUCAGCAAAAGAAGACAUACCCUCUACUCCGAUAGCACGUAGUGAAACUUCAUCAGAUACUCCCUCCACUUCUUCAGGGCAAACUGAAUCUUCUUCAGAUAUUCCAUCUGCUCCCUCGGCUCAAAGAAAAACUCCUGAAGUUCAAAAGGAACCAGCCAAGGUGACAACAAAAACGAAAGCGAACGUUCAUCAUCAACCCAAGCAGAUGAGCGAUAGGAAGAUAGAAAGGAACCAAAGAUACAGGAAAAACCUUUCUGAAAGGAAACAAUUCUGGCUCUCCCAGAAUGCAUACUAUUCACAUAAGGACAAGAAUCUGAAGUAUGAAAACAAUCCUGUAAGAAAGGCUGACAGUUCCAACAACCGAAAGCCAAGGUUCGGUUCGCAAGAAAACACCAACCGAAAGCAAGGGCUCGGUUCUGAAAAGGAAUUCGACCGAAACCAAAGGUUCGGUUCCAAGAACAACUCCAACCGAACACAGAGGUUCGGCUCUAAAGCCAAAAGAGAACAAGACUCGAAGGUCAGCCCCGCCAACGAUCAAAAGCAAAAGGGUCACCUAGAGUCAUCAGCCAGGAAGACAUCUCCAUCCAAAUCCUCUCAUUCUAAUUCUUCUCGUUCUUCUACUUCCACUCAUUCAUCUCCAUCUUGCUCUAAAGCUAAUCCCACAUGUUGUCAAAAACCUCAUCCAUCAGCUGAACAGAAAGGAAAGCAGAAGGUCGAUGAAUCCAAACCUGAGUCCAAAGCGAACAAACCCAAUCCUAACAAAAUAAAAGUCUUUACCAUUAAAAAGAAAGAUGAAACAACUCUAAUUAAAAGAACAUAUCUAGUUGACAUCUCUCUUACUAUUCCCGUUCCCAUGAAAAGCUCACAUGGACCCAAGAAACUUUGGGUUCCUAAAUCUGCUUAAUUUUUGCAGGUUAUGAGUGACGAGCAGUUUGACGAAGAAUGGUACAUUGACAGUGGCUGCUCGCGUCACAUGACAGGGAGGAAAGAGGAGCUCAGGGAAUACAGAUCUCUUGCAAAUGGUGGCAACGUCAAGUUUGGAAAUAACUCUUUCGGCACCAUAAAGGGAUACGGGAUGAUAACGAAUGGUGACUUUACAAUAAGGAAGGUGGCCUAUGUGGAAGGACUUCAACACAACCUCAUCAGUGUAUCUCAGCUUGUUGGAGGUACAGGUCUCAAAGUUUCAUUCGAUGAUGAAGGUUCUGAAAUCAUAGAGAAAAAGACAAAGAAAGUGAUUCUGAAGUCAGAGCGAAAGGGUGAAAUGUUUCCUCUGAACAUGAAACCCAUCAAAGGAAACCCAGCCAUAUGUCUGCUAUCAAAAGCUCAAUCCGACGAAAGCUGGUUGUGGCACAGAAGACUCUCUCAUCUCAAUUUCAAAGAUAUCAACCGACUUGUCACUGGAGGUCAUGUUAGGGGUCUUCCAUUGCUCAAGUUUGACCGAGAGCAUUUGUGUGCUGCAUGCGAAAUGGGAAAGCAGAGUCGUCAAAGUCACCCAUCCGUAAUUAACACAAAAGUUGUUGAACCACUCGAAUUGCUUCAUAUCGAUUUGUGCGGUCUUUCAUCUAUCGAAAGCAUUGGUGGUAGCAAGUAUAUUCUUGUUAUCGUAGAUGACUUCUCACGAUUUACAUGGGUGUUCUUUCUAAAGCUCAAAUCUGAAGCGACUCAAAAGCUGAAAGUGUUUAUCAAGCAGAUUGAAGUCCAGCUUAAGAAGGUUGUUCGAAACAUCAGGAGCGACAAUGGUCUCGAAUUCAAGAACAAGGAGUUUGAAGAGUUUCUUGCAGAAAAGGGAAUAAGUCAUAAUUUCUCAGCUCCCUACACACCACAACAGAACGGAAUAGUCGAAAGACGAAACCGAUCCUUGUGUGAAGCUGCCCGAACUAUGUUAAGUUUCGCUUCCUUACCUCUUUAUUUUUGGGCUGACGCUAUUUCUGCUGCUUGUUAUACACAGCACAGGUCCUAUCUCAAUAAGCGAUUCAGGCUCACACCAUAUUGUGACUCAAUAUGAAGAAGAUCCCACUAUAUUGUGACUCUGAAAGUGCAAUUAGGAUCUGUCAUAACCCAGUGCAACACUCUAAAACCAAACACAUAGCACUGAGGUAUCACUUCAUCAAAGAUCAUGUGGAAGAUGGAAAUGUUGAAGUUCACUUCGUAAGAACCACUGAUCAACUGGCUGACGUCUUUACCAAAGCUCUCCCAGAAGCUUCAUUCAACAAAAUAUUGCAAGGGCUAGGAAUGAUGGAAUCAGAAUCAGUACAUCACACUACCUCACAACCUCAAACGUAAGAAGCGAAUCCAACCGAACGUUCAGGUUCGGUUCAACCAUCUAACUCGCUCAUUGCUUCAAAGGUAGUCUUUCUGAGUUGUAUAUUACAUGUACAUUUUUGUUUUUCUUUACAUUAAAAGUAUUUAUUUCUUGUAUAUUUUACUUCCUUAGUUUCUCAAAAUUUUCCAAAACCGAAACCUACCGAAGGUUCGGGUUCGGUUUUUCAAAAUUUUGUGGAACCGAAACCAACCGAAGGUUCGGGUUCGGUUUUUCAAAAUUUUGCGAAACCGAAACCAACCGAAGGUUCGGGUUCGUUCGGUUUUCCGAAAUUUC
RNAcentral lists this long non-coding RNA (2734 nucleotides) under Lactuca sativa (garden lettuce). RNAcentral's name for it is "long non-coding RNA (LSAT_LNC010016)". Lineage: Eukaryota; Viridiplantae; Streptophyta; Magnoliopsida; Asterales; Asteraceae. The record is from RNAcentral.